RNAcentral lists this long non-coding RNA (2477 nucleotides) under Manihot esculenta (cassava). RNAcentral's name for it is "long non-coding RNA (MESC_LNC010019)". The record is from RNAcentral. Lineage: Eukaryota; Viridiplantae; Streptophyta; Magnoliopsida; Malpighiales; Euphorbiaceae.
CCAAUCAAAUAUUAUUAAUCAUAGACAAAAUCCAGUGAAAGUAAAGGCUUAAUGGCUGAGAGAGCCUCUUCAAUCCAUACAUGGAAAUGAUCUCUACAGUAACCCAAAUGAGCCAAGGCAUAAGCGACCCUAGUUUCCAUUGCUUUUGACAAAAGACCAUGAGAUGGGAGGAAAAAAGAACGCAAUCCCACAAAGCCAUUCUCGAGGCAUUACUGAAGGUAUCGCUAGAUCUGGAUAAUUAAUACACCCUUUACAAUCUGAUGAUUCGGCUCAGACUCAACUCUGCUGCAAGUUGUAAUCUAAAAGUCAUAGUUAUGGCCUUCGAGACAGCUGGAUUCCAAAAAUCAUCAACACAUUUAGAUGCACAUUGCCAACACUUGACCUUGACUAUCUUGAAAAAUUACUUCAAAAGCAAUCAAACCAUCCCCAACAAUUCCAGUAUCCACAUUCAUUUUGGCGAAGCCCAUUGGAGGGAGCAUCCAUGUGUCCAUUGUCACUGAAUCUCCCUUAGCAUCAUCCUCAAAAGUGGUCGAAAGGAGCUGCGUAUAUUCAAAUUAUUUUAUUUAAUAAUUAAUUGCUUAAAAUAUUAAAUACUAGAGCCAAAAAUUUUGGAAUUCCAUGAUAGCAAAAUAAGUUACUAAUAACACUCCGUAUAUUUGCGAAAAAUAUUUUACAUUUGAAAUUUUUUUAAAAAAAAAAUUUUCUAAACUUAUCUUUCUAUUUGCCUCCUCUAAUUCAUUACUCCUGUGAGUCUCUUCCUGCCCUUUAUCCCCUAGCCUGCAUUUUCUCUUUUAUCUUAGCCUAACAUCCUAUUUUUAUAUUCUCUACUUUUAUGUCCAAUCCCUCUACAUUCUCCACAUCAAACAUACCUCUAUUCAUAAAGCACCGUUUGGCUCAAAUGACAUCAUCUUUCAUCUUCUAAAAUAAUUUCAUCAAGGAAUUUUCCAUGUAAAUCCAUCUCAAUUAAUAUCCUUUCAUAAUUGAUUGAUAAACAAAGGCAUCUCAAUCACAUUGCCCACUCCACUCAACAGUUCUUUCCACCAAAAUUCCCAAGGAAGGCUUGGAAAUUGGACCUAAAUGGCAAUUUCUGAAUUGAUUCGAAAUCCAUUUUAGCCUAGGUUUCAUUGCAACAACACCAAAGGUCUUCUAUCAAAAGUAUUGGGUCCUUCAGCACUAAAUCCCUUCCUCCUUCUGAAUCAAAAGUAAAUAGAAAAAUAUUUGCAUUAACUAGAUAAACAGAAAUAAGCCCAUACCUCUUCCACUUACCCAUCACAAAAUUCAAAAUCCCUUGAAAUAUAGGAUUCAUUCCACAUAUACUACCUGUAAGAGCAUUCCCCUAACAAUGAACUUCUGAUUGCAGCUCCUCUGUACUGAAUUUCACCACUUUUUCCCCAUCAGUCACCACCGGAUGCACAUAGGCGAGUUCACAUUCUAGAAUCCUUUAUCUGUCCUUAGCCACCGAAUUUGGUCACCUCUUAUGCCUCUAUGUGUUAGUGUUCAUAUCUUCCUCAAUUGACUCAUUCAAUCUCCUCUAGUUACUGGGAACCAUCCCCACGUCAGAUCCUUCCCCAUCUGCGCAUUAUGUUCAUUUGCAUCGUCUUCCUGGUUUAACUUCUCUCAUAAGUAAUAUUAUUAUUAGUCUAAAUCAGAAAUAUGUAUGCACAUCCUAUAUAGAUUUUAAAAUCGAAAGUUGAUGUUCUCGAUUAUCGUCUAAAAUACUAAUGUAUUAUGUUAAGAUUUAUGUCUUAAAUUACUUAUAGUUUAAAAUUUUAAAAAUUUUAUAAUUGAUAUCAUGAAACAUCAACUCAUAUACUAUAUAUCAACGUAUGAUUUAAAAAUAAUUAACAAUUCAUAAAAUAAAAUAACAUAUUAUCUAAAAUUAUAAAACGAUAAAAGAUAAUAUUACUCAUUAUAAAAUCAUACACAGUAGUAUCAACAAACUAUAUGGAUAACAAUGAUUUUCAAAAAAAAAUACUAUUUACGUUUAAUAUAAACUUGAGAUACAGUUAUAAAAAAUUUAAGAUAUACUAACUUCCACCGGAAAUGAAAAUCAAUAUGUAGAAACACCUACCACCCAAGGUUUCCUAAUGACUUUAUUUCCCCAAAACUUUACUACAGUGUCCACCGUCCCUCUGCCAAUAACCUAACCCCAUUAAACACUAUUCCAUAAAUCUCGUUGAAUAAUCAGGACCUCAAACUAUGUCACUUUAGCUACAACAAAUUAUGAUGUGAAUGAACCAGAUCAUGCAGUAGCGAGGCCUCGUACUAGGGGCAUCUAAGAAUCUAUCACAGGUUUUGACUCCUAGCUAAGCACCAACUCUUACCUUUGUAUCCGAAGUUGAGAACAAUGAACUAGUAGUAGGAACACAAGGAGCUAUAAGGAAGAGAGAUGAUGAUGUAACCAGGGAACCACUAAGUCCUGAAGUCACGUGGUGAGAAGUUUUAUAGAGGAAGAUGUUGAUAUAAAUAGGAGCACC